AGUGAACGCUGGCGGUAGGCCUAACACAUGCAAGUCGAACGGCAGCACAGUAAGAGCUUGCUCUUACGGGUGGCGAGUGGCGGACGGGUGAGGAAUACAUCGGAAUCUACUUUUUCGUGGGGGAUACGUAGGGAAACUUACGCUAAUACCGCAUACGACCUACGGGUGAAAGCAGGGGAUCUUCGGACCUUGCGCGAUUGAAUGAGCCGAUGUCGGAUUAGCUAGUUGGCGGGGUAAAGGCCCACCAAGGCGACGAUCCGUAGCUGGUCUGAGAGGAUGAUAAGCAGCGUGGUAACGUAGCAGCGGUCCUGCGGCCUCCGGGAGGAACCAGAGUGGGAGGUUGGACAGGGGUCGCGAGUCUUACCGAGCGAGAGGACGUAAGAAAAAAAGGCCUUCGGUUCGUAAUGACCGUUUGUGGGAAAAAAAAAGCAGCCGCCUGAUACCCCGCUGGAGUGACGGUACCCAAAAAAUAAGCACCGGCUAACUUCGUG
Molecule: ribosomal RNA, 491 nt
Filed under: uncultured bacterium
Lineage: Bacteria
Description: partial 16S ribosomal RNA
Rfam family: Bacterial small subunit ribosomal RNA
Source: RNAcentral